RNAcentral lists this ribosomal RNA (1327 nucleotides) under Lactobacillus sp. RNAcentral's name for it is "bacterial SSU rRNA". It matches the Rfam family "Bacterial small subunit ribosomal RNA", at positions 91 to 1405 of the family's 1533-position model. The record is from RNAcentral. Lineage: Bacteria; Bacillati; Bacillota; Bacilli; Lactobacillales; Lactobacillaceae.
GUGAGUGGCGAACUGGUGAGUAACACGUGGGAAACCUGCCCAGAAGCGGGGGAUAACACCUGGAAACAGAUGCUAAUACCGCAUAACAACUUGGACCGCAUGGUCCGAGUUUGAAAGAUGGCUUCGGCUAUCACUUUUGGAUGGUCCCGCGGCGUAUUAGCUAGAUGGUGAGGUAACGGCUCACCAUGGCAAUGAUACGUAGCCGACCUGAGAGGGUAAUCGGCCACAUUGGGACUGAGACACGGCCCAAACUCCUACGGGAGGCCGCAGUAGGGAAUCUUCCACAAUGGACGAAAGUCUGAUGGAGCAACGCCGCGUGAGUGAAGAAGGGUUUCGGCUCGUAAAACUCUGUUGUUAAAGAAGAACAUAUCUGAGAGUAACUGUUCAGGUAUUGACGGUAUUUAACCAGAAAGCCACGGCUAACUACGUGCCAGCAGCCGCGGUAAUACGUAGGUGGCAAGCGUUGUCCGGAUUUAUUGGGCGUAAAGCGAGCGCAGGCGGUUUUUUAAGUCUGAUGUGAAAGCCUUCGGCUCAACCGAAGAAGUGCAUCGGAAACUGGGAAACUUGAGUGCAGAAGAGGACAGUGGAACUCCAUGUGUAGCGGUGAAAUGCGUAGAUAUAUGGAAGAACACCAGUGGCGAAGGCGGCUGUCUGGUCUGUAACUGACGCUGAGGCUCGAAAGUAUGGGUAGCAAACAGGAUUAGAUACCCUGGUAGUCCAUACCGUAAACGAUGAAUGCUAAGUGUUGGAGGGUUUCCGCCCUUCAGUGCUGCAGCUAACGCAUUAAGCAUUCCGCCUGGGGAGUACGGCCGCAAGGCUGAAACUCAAAGGAAUUGACGGGGGCCCGCACAAGCGGUGGAGCAUGUGGUUUAAUUCGAAGCUACGCGAAGAACCUUACCAGGUCUUGACAUACUAUGCAAAUCUAAGAGAUUAGACGUUCCCUUCGGGGACAUGGAUACAGGUGGUGCAUGGUUGUCGUCAGCUCGUGUCGUGAGAUGUUGGGUUAAGUCCCGCAACGAGCGCAACCCUUAUUAUCAGUUGCCAGCAUUAAGUUGGGCACUCUGGUGAGACUGCCGGUGACAAACCGGAGGAAGGUGGGGAUGACGUCAAAUCAUCAUGCCCCUUAUGACCUGGGCUACACACGUGCUACAAUGGAUGGUACAACGAGUUGCGAACUCGCGAGAGUAAGCUAAUCUCUUAAAGCCAUUCUCAGUUCGGAUUGUAGGCUGCAACUCGCCUACAUGAAGUCGGAAUCGCUAGUAAUCGCGGAUCAGCAUGCCGCGGUGAAUACGUUCCCGGGCCUUGUACACACCGCCCGUCACACCAU